Molecule: long non-coding RNA, 43783 nt
Filed under: Phaseolus vulgaris (common bean)
Lineage: Eukaryota; Viridiplantae; Streptophyta; Magnoliopsida; Fabales; Fabaceae
Description: long non-coding RNA (PVUL_LNC000514)
Source: RNAcentral
CAUCCUUAUUAAACCACAGUUGACUGUUCUUCCCUGAAAUUUGACGAAUAAUUUAUCUUCCCAUUUGUCGUAGCAACGGAUGCAUUCCUAAUUUCCUGUUCUUAUCAUGAGACUACGCUAUAUGAGAACUCUUAUUCCACUAUCCGCGUCUAUUCCACAGCCAUUUAGGAACUUAGUAACAUAGACUCUGUCCUUACCAACAAAGGAAAGAACAUACAUCAAGGAAUAAAUCUUUUUCCAUUUGAUUGUGUAACCCGUCGAAACUUGUUUUCAAUAUUGUGUAAAAUAAAUAUGAAUUUAACUAUGAGCUAUACUCAAAGAAAAACAAGGAAAGGAUCAGAAAGAUAAAUUGCACUAUAGGACACAAGGAUUAAUUCCAUAACUCAAGGGAUCCUGCUUUUCUCAAAGAAGAUGAAUGAAUUGUAAUAAGGACACACGGAUUGAUUCCAUAACUCAAGGGAUCCUGUUAUGUUCUCAAUGAAGAACAUUAACUCAGCAGAAGUCACACAUUACCAUUUUCUUAAAGAAUUUAAUUAAGGUAUUUUCCAUUGGCUCAAGGCAAGAAUCCAUUUCCAAGUCAUUUGAUUCACCAUAUAUCAGAUAGGCAACUGUGUUAUUGACCACCAAUCCAUAACCAAAAGUCACAAAAAUCUCCACGUUGUCUCCUGAUCCUAAACUUGACAUUACGCCAUGCCAAUCUUCAUCAUUAAAGGAAAUUACUGCGUCAUGCUUGUGCAUAUGUAACGUGCAGUUUGUGUAAUUAACAAUUAAGACAGUAGUAAGUUUGGGUUCAAUGAUUUUGGAGGUUGAUAAAUAAACAACACACAAAGGCAUUCCCUUUAUCUCACGAUCUCCAGGUACAGUGAAAGAAACAGAAUGUCCCUCACCCUUAUGGGCCAACCAAUAAGGAUCAUUGUCACCCGGGAGAGAAACAUCACAAAACUCACUGCUUACCAAUACCUGCACAAUGAGAUGAAAAGCUUAGUCAAUUAUGUAAUUUUUCAAUUCAAACUGUCUUCUGCAAUUAUUAUUUUAUAAUUCAAAUUACAAAAUGAGAAUUAUAAUCAAAUAAUGUAACUCAUAAUUAAGAAAUACCACUGAUAAUUAAUUUAAACAAAUCUGGCUAAUAGUCUUGUGUAUAUAUAUAACACCAUCAUGUCCUUAGGACUUAGAAUGCAUUUCUGUUUUCGUCUCUUACAGUUUAUAAUUCUACGAUCAUUGGGAAUAAAACAAUUAUGAAGCAAGUAAAGCAAGAAAGUGGAAAUCAAUUUCCUAUUAAAUAGUAUAAAAAAGUAUAAUCACUUGGUUAGUUGAUUAUUAAAAUUAGAUACUUUUAGAUGAAGCUGUGUGAUAAUAGAAGUGAAGAGGUCUAAAAGUUUCAUAUUGUAGUUUCUGUCAGAUACUUCAUCAGGAUUAUUUAAUGUUCUCUUAAUAAUAGCUAGAAUGAUAGUGAAGGUUAUAAACAAAGGGAAAGCUAGAGAAGAACCUUAGAUAUGCUAUCGUUCACAGUAUUGAAGAGUUCAUUGUAUCUUCCAAAACCAAGGAAAGAAGACCUCAACUGAUGCUUUGAAAUUCCUGAUUCUGAAAUAUUUGCACCAUAUUCGACCAGAAUAGUUUUUACUUGCUUAGAUUGCUGAAACUCGGUAUCACAUUGCACCAAAACACUUCGAAGAUUUCAAAGAAUUUUAAACAACGGUGCAAUAUCAUCCCGACUACUAUCCUCCUCAUCCAUGCAAACCAAAUGAAUAUAAGAUAGGGGAUCCAUUGUUGGUGACAUCCAAGACCUAAUGAUAGAAGGAAAAAGAUUAUGUGACAAUCCCUCAAAUCCACUUAGGGAUAUAUAUCCAAUGCUUUUUGAGUAUACAAUUGAAAAAGGCACUUGUUUGACAACUGUAUUUUCAGCAAUUAGUGUUAUCAAGGAUUCCAUCUGCACUAUAUCUUUUUCCAAUAGGUCAAUCUUCGAACAACCAGAAAGAAUGAGAGUUUUCAAACAUUUCAACUUAUAUAUCUUUCUGGGCAGAUUGCUUAGACUUGUACAAUCCUUCAAAUUUAGCAGUAUAAGAUUGCAGAGACAUCCAAUAGAAGGGUGUACUUCGCGCAAUCUUGGGCAAUCUUUGAGAAUGAGCUGUUCAAGACUUGGUAGUCCCGAAAUGUCAGGGGUUUUUGUCAAGUACUUGGAGUGACUAAGAUUAAGGACUUUUAGCCACGCCAAAACCUUCAAGAAGAUAGUUUUUUGAUAAAAUAUUAGAAAAGAAAAUAAAAUAGUUAUAAAUGAAAACAAAUAAUGCUUAUUUUAAGCUGAAAUUGAAAAGAAAAUGGUACGUCAUAAAAACCUGGGGUUCAUUCCAGACGAAUCGAAGAAGACUGUAUUUUAAAUCAAUUGCUAUUGCAUAAUGCAGAAAAAAGUCAUUAGGAAGGUAUUCUGAAGAAAACCCUUGCAAACUGAACCAUCUCAGUUUCAUAUAGUGGUACUCAUAAUUUUCUGCGAAUCUCAGCAGGCUUGAUGUGUCUCUUACCACUAAAGGAUAACGGUGGAAGAAAUCUUUUGUUGUUAAAAGCAUUUUCAAAGGCAAUCUCUGAAUGGGCUCAUUGGAUUUAUCCGAAAAACAGAAUCAACUUCAUGAAUCCUCAGUAUGUGUUCAUCUCUCGUUGUAAUGAUUAUUAUAGUUCCUCCACUGAAGCAACGGCGGCAUUCCCAUAGGUCGAGUAAUGCACAAAACUCAGGCACAUCAUCAAGUACAAUGAACACCCUUUUCCCAGAAAGUCUUUCACGAAUCAUUCUUUUUCCCAUCUCAACGCUGCUUAUCUUCACCUUUGUUUUUAGGACAUCUGAGAGAAGUUGUUCUUGUAAACGAAGAUCCCCUCUUAUUCCACUAAAUUGUCCAAUAUCUUCAAUGAAACUUUUCUCCGUGAAUGUACCAUGAAUUUGAUUAUAGAUGGCUUUUGCAAGGGUAGUUUUACCACAUCCUCCCUGUCCACAUAUCGCUAUCCUACAAUCCUCCGUGGAUUUACUUUUGAUAGUUCUAAUCAGAUCCUCCACUUGGUAUUGUAACCCAACUGGAAAUUUAGUAGCAGACAAGACUGGUAAAUUAAGAAGGCUUUUAACAAUUUUGUCGACUAGUUCAGCAUCACUCCUUCAAGUUCAAUAGCAAGUAUCGAAGAAGUCAUGUAUUACCAAAAUUAAAUCUCAAGCAUAAAAUUUGGUCAUUGAUUGAGUGAUUUACCUGUGGUUGCUUUCAUCCCAUCCAAAUAAAUUUGCAGCUUUGGUGAGUGCCUGGCUCCAUCUGGACGUGCCAUGCUCCAGUUGUUGUCCUGAAAAUGUUUGGUGUGCCGUUUCUUUGAAAGCUUUACCAAAAUCACCCAUCUGAAGACGUACAUCAGAUGGCUCAAUUUCGUAAUAAACGGGCAGUUUGGAUGUCGAAGACAGCAAUUCCAUGGAAGGAAUUGAUGAGGUCAUGAACUAUUACAAGAAGAGAAAGCAAUAAUGCAACAAAGUACGCCGAAGAUUAAGACUUUUUCUUUUUAUACUUGUGGAAUCGAGUUAAGACCAUAAGAGACCCUUCUUUACUUUAGCAUUUAAGAUAUGGCUAAUUCUUUAUGCAAGUGAAGUAAAUUGAAAAAGUAAAUCUUGAAAAGAUUCUUGUAUUCUUAAAUUGUAAAAUCAAAAUCUCAUUUUGAAAAAAAUAUUAUAGAAUCAAAAAUACAUUUUAGAAAAUAAAUUUUGGAAAACAAAAUCCAUAAAGUUAUAUAAUGGAAUUAAAAAAGUGUUCUAAAAAUCUAAAUCUGAAAAUGUAUUAUAAGAGGUUCCAAAAUGUAUUUUGAUCCACUCCCCCUCUUUAUUUAAGGGUAUUUUUGUCUUUUCAGAUAAAAAUCGGAUGUAAGUUCAAAUUUCAUUGGGUGGAAGAAGUAAUUGCCUUAAGAUAAUAGGCUAACACUCACUUUGAAUCAUAAAAAAGAAAAUAUCAAUAAUUACAAAAAAAAUUGUAAUUAUAUUUUUAUACUUUUUAAUUUAAGAACAUUACAUUAUCUCUUCUUUUAUUUUAGUCAUAUAUCCCUUUUAAGUUUAAAAAAUAAAAAAAUACAUUAUAUUUUUUUUCAUAUUUGUGUAUAUCUAAAGAGGUCAUUGUAAUAUAGAUCACAACCUUCAAGAAAACACUCAAACUGCUGAGCACUUCUAUCAUACACUGAACGAAUUGAGGCCAAAAAAGUUAAGAGAUCCAAAUGUCAAAGGACUGAGCGAAUCCAAAAAGGUUGAGCGCAAAGAUUCAUUCACCAUGAAGAAAGCCAAAAUUUGCUCACGAAAGACUUGAAGUCAUCAUGCACCAAAAUUAGAAGGAAAAGGAUUUCGCUUGAAGCAAAGCCCAAGCAAAAAUCACUUCAUGGCUAAGAAAGAGAAAGUGUUGGGCUCAGGUUGGAAUGAAUCCUUGAUAGAUAGAUCCUUAAAUCUAAGAAUCCCAAGAAGCCCAAGAACUUGUCUUGAAGCCCAAAGAUUACUCUAGCCUAAACAUAUGUGCUAUAUUGUUAUUGUUAGAAUUAGUGGCCUAAACAAGAGGGGAAGUGAAUUAUUUUCAUAAGAUUUUUGCAAAGAUUGGAAAUAGAGUGAAAAGUUCUAAAUCAACCAAUUGAUUUUCUGUUCAACUGGAUAAAAAUUUAGUUUUAAUGUUCUUUACAGAAAUUCAACCGGUUGUUUUCUCGAAACAAGAGGUUGGUUAAACCAGUAGAAAAAGAACAAUUAUUAAAACAAUAUAAAAGAAAAGGGAUAGAGAGAUUCACGCACAAAGGUUUAUACUAGUUUACUCUUAACCAAGAGCUACAUCCAGUCCUCAACUAACCAAUGAGAAUUCACUAUGUAAUCAAACCUAGAUUACAAACCACACACCAAGAAACCACACACCAAGAGUGAUAUCUUGAACCCCUCAAGAAUCACCACCUUGGCAACACCACAAUUUUCAUAAACACCUUUUUGAAACUACCUUUCACCAAAUACACCGAAUUAUAGUGUUCAAAGUGAAGGAAAAGAAUACACAUGGGCUUUACAAAGUAGAAGAACAUAAGUAUACAAAGACCCAGUCCUAUUCCACACACAAGUGAUGAUCCAAAACUCUUGAACUCUUGAAAAACGUUUUUCAUCAUCUUUCUUUCUUUGGUUCUUGAAAAGAAUAUCAAAUAACCUUUAUAUAGACUUAAGCAAGUGGUCAAAGUUGUUAGAUCAUAAAUCAAAAGAAGUUGGAAUCAUUUAAAAACAGUUCAAAACACUUCAUAAAAUUUUGUUAUAAAAACAACAAAUUGACAGCAAAGCCAAAACAAAGCAAAGUUUUCCCAAAUCAUUUUAAAAACCACUAAGUGUCAAACAACCAAUUGUUUCGACAAUUCAACAUGUUGAAAUUUCACGACUUUUUAGAAAACACUUCUUUUCAAAAAAGAUAAAGAAUCAAGUGAGCUUGGAUCAAUACAAGGAGUGAAUUAACAAGUAAAAAACUACUAGACAACACACACACAUAGCAGCAGGGUCUUCAAGCUUUUCACAUAGAUUUGGAGACAUCAAAUCAUCUUGUUCAACAGUUAUUCUUUUACUUUCAAUAUCUUGUUAAUAGAGUAAGUGGAAAGUAUUUUUAAAAAGGGUAAAAUAAUAUUUUCCAAAUAUGAUGAGGUGCAGGAAGAAACAUUCUUAAAAUUAACAUCAAUAAAAAAAUAGUAACUCUAUGACCAUCAUUGUACCAACAACACAGGCUUUCCCCAAAUUUUUUAUUGUAUAUCUAAAGCUGAGCUUACUUAGAUUAUCCAAGGCAAGUUUCUCAUUAGAUAUCUAGUCAGCCAAAACGUGCAACAAUUUAUUUUGAAUGCCAAUAAGAGCAACUUGUUUAUUUUAAUUACCUUUUUCGUCUCUACAUUUAGAUUCAAUAGUGAAUUUAAUACCGUGGUUUUUAAAAAAAUCAAUUUGAUUCCUAAGUUUUUUAAAAUGUAUUCAAAAUAAUCAUUUCUGUUAAAUUUUUACCAACGACAUUAACAGUUGAUGACGUGGCACACAGUAUAUAAGUCUAGGCACGUGACAUAUACGUGUCACAUAAGACGUUGAGACUAUAGUCUUUUACCGUUCAACCUUGCGCCGGUCACAUUCACCGCCAUUCAGAUGAUUUUUGGAGUAACCGUGGCUAUCAUACUUGGAGGCAAGGAAUCUCACCAAGGAGGAGUACGUCGCGAAUCAUCCCGUCGGCAAGAUCGGGAAGAGUCUCAUCUUUAAGGUCCUUUUUUUAUUCAUUUGUAUCUGUGUUUGAAGGAUUUGUAUAAAACAAGAAGGAUUAAAAAACAAAGCAAAUGUGAAGGCCAAGAGUAUGAAGAAAAGUUUAGGUAGUUUGGUGAGUUGUUCCACUGUGUAGUGUAAGAGAAAGAGAGAGAUAGUGACUCUGAUUCACUCGCCAAACCAUCUGCACAACAUAAUUCAUUAUACAGAUCGCUCUUUCCUCAUUUCUCCCUUAACGGACAAAUAUACCCCUCCCCUCUCCAUAUCAUUUAUAUAAUUCAUUCAUAUUAAAAUAAUAAUCUACAUCUAUAUUAUUUUUCUAAAGUGAAAUGGGUGCUGCAAUUCACGAGCUUCCACGACUAUGAAAAAUAAAUGUAUCUUUGGCUACUUUGAAUGGUUUUGUGUCUUUUUGACUGUGUUGCAUUAUUGCUUUCUCUUCUUCUAACAGUUGACCUCAUCAAUUUCUUCCAUGGAAUCGUCAUCUUCAUUAUCAAAUCUGCCACGGAUGUACGAUGUGCUUAUCAACUUUAAUGGAGAAGACAUCCAAAGGACAUUUGUUUCUCAUCUCGAUUCUGACCUCUCUGCUGUUGGCCUCACCACCUUCCUUCACCACCCCAAUGCAGUCAAUCCAACGCACAUCCAACAACCUAUUCUCAAUCUCUGUCGGGUAGCAAUUGUAGUUUUUACCAAAUCCUAUUCUCAAUCUGCUUGGUGUCUUAAUCAGCUUCAACAAAUCAUCAAAUGGCACCAAACUUAUUGCCGACAUGUUCUGCCCGUUUAUUACGAAAUUCACCCAUCUCAUGUACGUCUUCAAAAGGGUAAUUUUGGAAAAGCCUUCAAAGCAACUGCACACCAAACAUUCUCAGGACAACAACUGAGGCAGGGCAUGUCUAGAUGGAGCCACGCACUCACCAAAGCUGCAAAUUUCUUUGGAUGGGAUGAGAGAAAUCACAGGUAAAACACUGACUCAAUCAACCAUAUUUUAAGCUUCUGAUUUUAUGUUGGUACUACAUGACUUCUUCUAUGAUUGCUAUUGAACUUGAAGGAGUGAUGCUGAACUAGUGGACAAAAUUGUUAAGAUCGUUCUUCAUUUACCAAUCUUGUCUGCUACAAAAUUUCCAGUUGUAUUAGAAUCCCGUGUGAAAGAUGUGAUUCAGAGCAUAAAAAAUAAAUCCACCCAAGUUUUAACUAUACUGAUAUGUGGAAGAGAAGGAUCGGGUAGAACCACUCUUGCCAAAGCCAUCUACAAUCAAAUUCAUCAUACAUUCACGGAGAAAAGUUUCAUUGAAGAUAUUGCAGAAGGUAGUCAAACAAGAGGGUAUGUUCAUUUACAAGAACAACUUCUUUCAGAUGUACUAAAAACAAAGGUGGAGAUAAGUGACGUUGAGAUGGGAAGAAGUAUGAUUUGGGAAAGACUAUAUGGGAAAAGGGUGCUUCUUGUACUUGACGAUUUGAAUGACUAUGGCGAAUUAGAUCUCUGGGGAAGUAGUUCAUGGUUCGGUGAAGGAACUGUAAUAAUCAUUACAGCGAGAGAUGAAGUAGACCUGCCGAGUAUGCUUGAAGUUGAUUCUGUUUUUCAGAUGAUUCCAAUGAACGCAAACGAGUCCCUUGAGCUUCUUAGUUGGCACGCAUUUAGAGAACCAAAACCAAAAAAAGAAUACCGUGUACUUGCAAAAAGAGUAGUUGCUUAUUGUGGAACACUACCUCUAGCUCUCGAAGUCAUUGGAACUUAUUUAUACAAAAGGACGAAAGAUGAAUGGAAUAGAGUAUUGAUAAGAUUAGACAAUAUUCCCCAGCAUGAAGUUCCACAGAUAUUGAAAAUAAGUUUUGACGGUUUAGCUAAUCAAAUAGAAAAAGAUUUAUUCCUUGAUGUAUGUUGUUUCUUUGUUGGUAAAAGCAGAGCCUAUGUUACCAAGAUCCUAAAUGGCUGUGGAGUAGACUCUGAUAGUGGAAUAAGAGUUCUCAUAAAGCGUAACCUCAUCAAAGUUAAAGAAAACAACAAAUUUGGAAUGCAUCAUUUGCUACGAGAAAUGGGAAGAGAAAUUAUUAGUGAAAUUUCAAGAAAGGAAUCUGGGAAGAACAGUCGACUGUGGCCUCAUGAGGAUCUAAAACAUGAAUUUUCAGUGAAUACUGUAAGAGCAUUCUUAAUCUAUGAUUUUGAAACUUCUUUUGGAAGUGGUUGAUUUCUCAUGUGCAAUACAAAUGUUUUUCUUAGCUCUUUUCAUCACCGGGUAAAAAGGUCAUUCAGAGAUUGUCUAGCGGAAGAGAUUUCUUCGAACGUUAUCCUGUAGAGGUAAGAGACCCAUCACCGGAUACAAAAGUCUUCGAACUCGCUGGACUGCUGAAACUCGCUGGAGAUUCCGACGACCAUUCUAAGAAUACCUACCUAACGGCUUUAAUCUGCAUGAUGCAAUAGCGAUUGAUUUAAAACACACUCUUCUUCGAUUCGUCUGGAAAGAACCCCAGGUUUUUAUUACGUGCCAUUUUCUUUUAAAACUCAGCUUAAAAUACAAAUAUUAUUUGUUUCCACUUAUAACUAUAUUAUUUUUUCAUUUUCUUUUCUAAUAUUCUUGAAGGUUUUGGCGUGUCUAAAAGUCCUGAAUCUUAGUCACUCGAAGUACUUGAUAAAAACCCCUGACUUUUCGAGACUACCAAGUCUUGAAGAGCUCAUUCUCAAAGAUUGUCUUAAAUUGCGCGAAGUACACCAAUCUAUUGGAUGUCUCUGCAAUCUUAUACUGCUAAAUUUGAAGGACUGUACAAGUCUAAGCACUCUCCCCAGAGAGAUAUGUAAGUUGAAAUCUUUGAAAACUCUCAUUAUAUCUGGUUGUUGGAAAAUUGACCUAUUGGAAAAAGAUAUAGUGCAAUUGGAAUCCUUGAGAAUUCUAAUUUCUGAAAAUACAGAUGUGAAACAAGUGCCUUUUUCAAUUGUAAGCUCAAAAAGCUUUGCAUAUUUAUUCCUACCUGCAUUUGAGGGAUUAUCACAUAAUCUUUUUCCUUCUGUGAUUCGGUCUCUGAUGUCGCCAACAAUGAAUCCCUUAUCUUAUAUUCAUUCCUUCAUGGAUAUGGAGGAUAAUAGUUGGGAUGAUAUUUCACCAUUGCUCAGCAGCCUUGCAAAUCUUCGAAGUGUUUUGGUGCAAUGUGACGCCAAGUUUGAACUAUAUGAGCAAGUAAAAACUAUAUUGGUCGAGUAUGAUGCAAAUAUUACAGAAUCAGGAAUUUCAAAGCAUAAUUUCAGGUCUUCUCUGACUGGUGUUGGAAGAUACAAAGAAUUCUUCAAUACUGUCAGCGAUAGCAUACCUAAGGUUCUUCUCUAGCCUUCCUUUGAUUAUAACCUUCACCAUAAUUUUAGCUAUUAUUUUUUAGAACAGAAAAUAAUCCUAAUGAAGAUUUAGUAGAAACUACACUACUGAACUUUUAGCACCCUUCGCUUCUAUAGCCCCACGACUUCAUCUAAAAGUAUCUGAGUUGAAUAAUCAAAUAACCAAGUGAUUAUGCUUAUACUAAGUACUUUGAAAUUGAUUUCCACUUUAUUGCUUUACUAGCUUCAUGGUUUUUUUAUUCCUAAUGAUCGUAUAAAUAUAAACUAAUAGAGACAAAAUCAGAAAUGCAAAAUGAUGGUGAUAUAUACACAACAAAACUAUUAACCAGAUUUGUUUUAAUCAUGUAUAACAUUUUUGUUUCACUAAACAUGCCCUUGUUUGUCACAUGAUACAGGUAUUUGCAAGCAGUGAGUCAUGUGAUGUUUCUCUGCCAGGUGACAACGAUCCUUAUUGGUUGGCCCAUAUGGGUGAUGGACAUUCUGUUUCUUUCACUGUGCCUCAAGAUCGUGAGGUNNNNNNNNNNNNNNNNNNNNNNNNNNNNNNNNNNNNNNNNNNNNNNNNNNNNNNNNNNNNNNNNNNNNNNNNNNNNNNNNNNNNNNNNNNNNNNNNNNNNGUUUAUUCAUCAACCUCCGAAAUCAUUGAACCUAAACAUACUAUUGUCUUAAUUGUUAAUUACACGAAGUGCACAUGCCAGAUACACAACCAUGGCACAGUAAUUUCCUUUAAUGAUGAAGAUUGGCAUGGCAUAAUGUCAAAUUUAGGAUCAGGAGACAAGGUGGAGAUUUUUGUGACUUUUGGUCAGGAUUUGGUGAUUAAGAGCACAGCUGUCUACCUGAUAUAUGGUGAGCCAAGGAAAAAUUCCCUCAUUAGAUUCAUAAAGAAAAUUGUAAUGUGACUUUUCUGGUAAGUCAUUUAUCUUCUUUUUGAACAGCAGGAUCAUUUUUUUCCCAUCUUUUCUUUUCUUUAUAGUGUAGCUUAUAGUUAAGAAAUUCAUGUUUAUUUCACCCUGUUCUCACUCCUUAGUGGUGCUUCCUUGGCUUUUCUUGAGCGGUUUAUUGUAUUUGUUUUCUGGAUUUUACUUUUGUCAAUUCUUUUCCCUUUUAGCAUAUAAUAUUUCAAUAGGAAUCCUCUUAAAAUAAGACAUUGCAUUAUGAUAUAAAGACAGCUGCAGUUUGAUAGUUUGCUAUGUGUUUUGUUUUGGUAUCUGGUAGGUAGUCUCUGUUUUCGUUUGAACAUAAUAAACAUUCAAAGGAUAUGUAUAGACACAACCAUCCAAAGGAGACCAAAGAUGAGUACAUUUUUUUUAUAGUGGUGCAAGCACGUUUAAAAAAUUCGACCAACGCACGCCAACUUUGAACCACUGGAAAAAUAAAUAUUAUACUAAUACAAUUCAAAUUUUCUCCAAUAUAUUCCUUUUUUUUAUAUUAUGCGUCCAUUUUUUUAAGUUUUAAAAUAUAACACGUCCAUCUUUGUUUACAUUACCCAUUCACGUCGUUAAGAUAAAUCAUAAACAAAAUAAAAAAAAAAGUAUAAAUCUAAUUUUAAAAAAAUUACGACAAGUCAUUUUUUAUAAACAAGAAACAGGAUAAAAUAGAUGAAUUUGUUAACGACAAUCUUUGAGAAUGAGUUGUUCAAGACUUGGUAUCGAAAAAGUCGGGUUUAUAUAAGUACAUGGAGUGACUAAGAUUAAGAACUUUUAGCCAGGCCAAAACCUUGAAGAAGAUAGUUUUUGAUAAAAUAUUAGAGAAGUAAAUGAGAACACGAAAUAGUUAUAAGUGGAAACAAAUAAUGAUUUUAAAAGAGAAUGACACGUAAUAAAAACCUUGGGUUCUUUCCAAACGAAUCAAAGAAGACUGUGUUUUAAUUCAAUCUCUAUUGCAUCAUGCAGAUAAAUAUCGUUAGAUAGGUAUUCUUAUAAAGGUACUCGGAAUGUCCAGCGAAUUUCAGCACUCUUGAUGGUCUCUUACCUCUAAAGGAUAACUUCCGGUAGGCAAUCUCUGAAUCAAUUUUGUUCUUUUAGAUGAAAAGAGCAAAGAAAAAGAAAUAUAUUGCACAUGAGAAAGCAACCACUUUCAAAAGAAGUUUCAAAAGCAUAGAUAAAGGAUGUUCUUACCGUAUUCUCUGACACUGCAUAUUCUGCAUCCUUAUUAAACAGCAGUUGACUGUUCUUCCCUGAAAUUUGACGAAUAAUUUAUCUUCUCAUUUGUCGUAGCAACGGAUGCAUUCCUAAUUUCUUGUUCUUAUUAUGAGACUACGUUAUAUGAGAACUCUUAUUCCACUAUCAGCGUCUAUUCCACAGCCAUCUGUCCUUACCAACAAAGGAAAGAACAUACAUCAAGGAAUAAAUCAAGCUAUUAUUUCGCAGAAAGGUACUCGGAGUCUGCAUCCAGUUUCAGAAGUCUUGAUGAGUCUCUUACACCUACAGGAAAGUUUGCAAAUGUAAUACUUUUGUUUUAAAUUAUGUAAAUAUGUCAAUUUUGAUUUUAAAUCCAAUCAGAUAGUUUGAUGUAUCAUUUGUCACUUCAACAGGUUUGUGCUGAAAGAAGUGGUGAGGAAAUCAGUAGGAAUGCUGAAAGCCAACAAUGCUGGUGCGAGGGGACCUAUGUUAUAUAUGCAGAUUUUUUACAAGCAGAUGAAGUGAUUGGUUCUUUGGAAAGUGCAUAUUUGUUCCUGUCCAAGUAAGAAGGUAAACCCGACAUGCUGGCUUAGAUCUUGUGAUGUGCAAGAGCAGAGAAAAAAGUUUGUUUGAGUGUAAAACUGUUUGAUUUUCUUCGUGGGUGAAUACUCAUCCGUUUGAGUGUGAAACUGUUUGAAAUUUGUCGCGUUUUGUCUAAAAUUCAGUGGAGAUUCUUACGUGGAAUUCUGGGAAAAAACUAUUUUGGGAGAAUUUUUCAGAAAUUUUGUGCAAACCAAGGCUAUCCUCUACAGAAAACUUGUGAAAUUUCGCCCUAGUAUCUGAAAUUUUAUUUUGGGUCCGUAUUGCGUUGAAAAAAUUCACACAAAAACUUUCAUAUGUUGUUUGCACCCAGGUAAGGAGGCACGUCCAAAAAAAAAUCACAAAAAGAAGAUACUGGAAGAAAAGCCAGGACGUUUUGUUUGCAGAAAACCAAUUUUGUUCACUCUCGGUCUGAGACUUACUACGCCUUACUUCUUGGGUAUUUUGGUCUGAAAUUUUUACCAGAAGUUCGUCACUGUGUCUACUGAGUUUUGGCUGAGUUUUCAGGCCUAGAUUCGUCCCACGAGACUGUGAAUAAAUUUUUUAUUCAUCACUGUCAGCGUUGAGAGGAAGGUUCGUUUGAGUGUGAAACGUUUUGAUUUUCUUCGUUCGUGAAUACUCAUCCGUUUGACCUGAAAUUUCUCGGUUUUGUCCCAAAUUAUGUGGAGAUUCUUACGUGUAAUUUCAGGAAAAAACUAUUUCGGGAGAAUUUUUCAUAAAUUUUGUGCAAACCAACUCUACCAAAACUUGUGAAAUUUGCCCUAGUAUUUGAAAUUUUAUUCAGGGUCCGUAUUGCGCUGAAAAAAAUUCACACAAGUACUUUCAUAUGUUUUUGGCCUCUAGGUAAGGAGGCACGUCUAAAAACAAAUCACAAAAACAAGAUACGAGGGAGAAAAACGAGGACAUUUUGUUUUCAGAAAACCAGUUCUGUUCACUUUUGGUCUGGGACUUACUACGCCUUACUCCUUGGGUAUUUUGGUCUGAAAUUUUGACCAGACGUUCGUCAUUAUUUCUACUGAGUUUUGCCAGAGAUUUGAGCCCGAGAUUCGUCUCACGAGACUGUCAAUAAAUUUUUUAUUCGCGUCAGGGCUGAGAUGAAGGUUUGUUUGUGAAUGAAACAGUUUGAUUUUUUUCGUGGGUGAAUACUCAUCCGUUUAACCUGAAAUUUGUCGAGUUUUGUCCCAAAUACAGUGGAGAUUCUUACGUGGAAUUCUAGGAAAAAACUAUUUCGGGAUAAGUUUUCAGAAAUUUUGUGCAAACCAAGGCUAUCCUCUACCUAAACUUCUGAAAUUUCGCCCUAGUAUCUGAAAUUUUAUUCUGGGUCCGUAUUGCGCUGAAAAAAUUCACAAAAGUACUUUCAUAUGUUGUUUGCAACCAGGUAAGGAGGCACGUCCAUAAACAAAUCACAAAAAGAAGAUACGGGGGAGAAAAGCCAGGAUGAUUUGUUUUGGAAAACCAGUUUUGUUCACUCUCGGUCUAGGACUUACGACGCCUUACUUCUUCGGUGUUUUGGUAUGAAAUUUUUACCAGACGUUUGUCACUGUGUCUAAUGAGUUUUGGCUGAGAUUUGAGCCCCAGAUUCGUCCCACUGUGUCAAUAAAUUUUUUAUUCAUCACUGUCAGGGCAGAGAGGAAGGUUCGUUUGUGUGUGAAACUGUUUGAUUUUUUUCGUGGGUGAAUAGUCAUCCAUUUGACCUGAAAUUUGUCGCGUUUUGUCUCAAAUUCAGUGUAGAUUCUUACGUGAUAUUUGAGGAAAAAAACUAUUUUGGGAGAAUCUUUCAGAAAUUUUGAAAUUUCGCCCUAGUAUCUGAAAUUAUAUUAUGGGUCCGUAUUGCGUUGAAAAAAAUCACACAAGUACUUUCAUAUGUUGUUUUCACCCAGGUAAGGAGGCACAUCCAUAAACAAAUCACAAAAAGAAGAUACGGGGGAGAAACACCAAGACGUUUUGUUUGCGGAAAACUAGUUUUGUUCAAUCUCCGUCUGGCAAUUACUACGCCUUACUCCUUGGGUAGUUUGGUCUGAAAUUUGUAGCAGACGUUCAUCACUGUUUCUACUGAGUUUUGGCUGAGAUUUGAGCCCCAGAUUCGUCCCACUAGACGGUGAAUAAAUUUUUUAUUCAUCACUGCCAGGGUUGAGAGGAAGGUUUGUUUCUGUGUCAAACUGUUUGAUUGUUUUCGUGGGUGAAUACUCAUCCGUUUGACCUAAAAUUUGUCGAAUUUUGUCCCAAAUUCAGUGCAGAUUCGUACAUGAAAUUUCAGGAAAAAACUAUUUCGGGAGAAUUUUUAAAAAAUUUUGUGCAAACCAACUCUACCAAAAACUUGUGAAAUUUGCCCUAGUAUUUGAAAUUUAUUCAAGGUCCGUAUUGCGCUGAAAAAAUUCACACAAGUACUUUCAUAUGUCGUUUGCACCCAGGUAAGGAGGCACGUCCAAAAACAAAUCAGGAAAAGAAGAUACGGGGGAGAAAAACCCGGACGUUUUGUUUUCGGAAAACCAGUUUUGUUCAAUAUUUGUCUGGGACUUACUACAUCUUACUCCUUGGGUAUUUUGGUCUAAAAUUUUGACCAGACGUUCGUCACUGUGUCUACUGAGUUUUGGCUGAGAUUUGAGCCCUAGAUACGUCCCACGAGACAGUGAAUAAAGUUUUUAUUCACCACUGCCAGAGUUGAGAGGAAGGUUUGUUUGUGAGUGAAAGUGUUUGAUUUUUUUCGUGGGUGAAUAAUCACCCAUUUGACCUUAAAUUUGUCGCGUUUUUUCCCAAAUUCAGUGGAGAUUCUUACGUGGAAUUUCAGAAAAAAACUAUUUUGGGAGAAUUUUUCAGAAAUUUUGUGCAAACAAAAGCUAUCCUCUACCAAAACUUGUGAAAUUUCGCCCUAGUAUCUGAAAUUUUAUUCUUGGUCCGUAUUGCGCUGAAAAAAAUUCACAAAAGUACUUUCAUAUGUUGUUUGCAACCAGGUAAGGAUGCACGUCCAUAAAGAAAUCACAAAAAGAAGAUACGGGGGAGAAAAGCGAGGACGAUUUGUUUUCGGAAAACCAGUUUUGUUCACUCUCGGUCUAGGACUUACUACGCCUUAAUUCUUGGUUAUUUUGGUAUGAAAUUUUUACCAGACGUUAGUCACUGUGUCUAAUGAGUUUUGGCUGAGAUUUGAGCCACAGAUUCGUCCCACUGUGUCAAUAAAUUUUUUAUUCAUCACUGUCAGGGCUUAGAGGAUGGUUCGUUUGUGUGUGAAACUGUUUGAUUUUUUUCGUGGGUGAAUAUUCAUCCGUUUGACCUGAAAUUUAUCGCAUUUUGUCCCAAAUUAAGUGCAGAUUCUUACGUGAUAUUUCAGGAAAAAAACUAUUUUGGGAGAAUUUUUCAGAAAUUUUGUGCAAACCAAGGCUAUCCUCUACCAAAACUUGUGAAAUUUUGCCCUAGUAUCUGAAAUUAUAUUAUGGGUCCGUAUUGCGUUGAAAAAAAUCACUCAAGUACUUUCAUAUGUUGUUUUCACCCAGGUAAGGAGGCACGUCCAUAAACAAAUCACAAAAAGAAGAUACGGGGGAGAAACACCAAGACGUUUUGUUUGCGGAAAACUAGUUUUGUUCACUCUCCGUCUGGCAAUUACUACCCCUUACUCCUUGGGUAGUUUGGUCUGAAAUUUUUAGCAAACUUUCGUCACUGAUUCUACUGAGUUUUGGCUGAGAUUUGAGCCCCAGAUUCGUUCCACUAGACUGUGAAUAAAUUUUUUAUUCAUCACUGCCAGGGCCUAGACGAAGGUUUGUUUGUGUGUCAAACUGUUUUAUUGUUUUCGUGGGUGAAUACUAAUCCGUUUGAUCUGAAAUUUGUCGCGUUUUGUCCCAAAUUCAGUGCAGAUUUUUACGUGGAAUUUCAGGAAAGAACUAUUUCGGGAGAAUUUUUCAUAAUUUUUGUGCAAACCAACUCUACCAAAACUUGUGAAAUUUGCCCUAGUAUUUGAAAUUUAUUCAGGGUCCGUAUUGCGCUGAGAAAAUUCACACAAGUACUUUCAUAUGUUGUUUUCACCCAGGUAAGGAGGCACGUCCAAAAACAAAUCAGGAAAAGAAGAUACGGGGGAGAAAAUCCAGGACGUUUUGUUUUCGGAAAACCAGUUUUGUUCAAUAUCUGUUUGGGACUUACUACGCCUUACUCCUUGGGUAUUUUGGUCUGCAAUUUUGACCAGACGUUCGUCACUGUGUCUACUGAGUUUUGGCUGAGAUUUGAGCCUAAGAUUCGUCCCACGAGACUGUCACUUAUGUUUUUAUUCAUCACUGCCAGGGCUGAGAGGAAGGUUUGUUUGUGAGUGAAACUGUUUGAUUUUUUUCGUGUGUGAAUAAUUACCCAUUUGACCUGAAAUUUUUCGCGUUUUUUCCCAAAUUCAGUGGAGAUUCUUACGUGGAAUUUCAGGAAUAAACUAUUUUGGGAGAAUUUUUCAGAAAUUUUGUGCAAACCAAGGCUAUCUUCUAUGAAAACUUGUGAAAUUUCGCCCUAGUAUCUGAAAUUUUAUUUUGGGUCGGUAUUGUGCUGAAAAAAGUCACACAAUUACUUUCAUAUGUUGUUUGCACCCAGGUAAGGAGGCACGUUCAUAAACAAAUCACAAAAAGAAGAUAAGGGGGAGAAAAGCCAGGACGUUUUGUUUCGGAAAACCAGUUUUGUUCACUCUAGGUAUGGGACUUACUACGCCUUACUGCUUGGGUAUUUUAGUCUGAAAUUUUUACCAGACGUUCGUCACUGUCUCUACUGAGUUUUCGAUGAUAUUUGAGCCCCAGAGUUGUGUGUGAAACUGUUUGAUUUUUUUCGUGGAUGAAUACUCAUCCGUUUGACCUGAAAUUUUUUGCAUUUUGUCCCAAAUUCAGUGGAGAUUUUUAAGUGGAAUUUCAGGAAAAAUAUAUUUCGGGAGAAUUUUUCAGAAAUUUUGUGCAAACCAAGGCUAUCCUCUACCAAAACUCUUGAAAUUUCACCCUAGUAUGUGAAAUUUUAUUCUGGGUUCGUAUUGCGCUGAAAAAAUUCACACAAGUACUUCAUAUGUUGUUUGCACUCAGGUAAGGAUGCACGUCCAUAUAGAAAUCACAAAAAGAAGAUACGGGGGAGAAAAGCCAGGACGUUUUCUUUUCGGAAAACCAGUUUUGUUCACUCUCGGUCUGGGACUUACUAUGCCAUACUCCUUGGGUAUUUUGGUAUGAAAUUUUUACCAGACGUUCGUUACUGUGUCUACUGUGUUUUGGCUGAGAUUUGAGCCCAACAUUCGUCCCACAAGACUAUCAAUAAAUUUUUUAUUCAUCACUGCCAGGGCUAAGAGGAAGGUUCGUUUAAGUGUGAAAUUGUUUGAAUUUUUUCGUGGGUGAAUAGUCAUCCAUUUGACCUGAAAUUUAUCGCGUUUUGUCCGAAAUUCUGUGGAGAAUCUUACGUGGAAUUUCAGGAAAAAACUAUUGUUAGAAUAUAUGACCUUAAACGAGAGGGGGGUGAAUUGUUUAAGAGGGAUUUUCGCAAAAUUUGAAGGUAUAAUGAAAAUCAAUGCUGAAUUACAAAGAAAAGAAUCAAGGAAACAAAUACCCAAAACUGUUUUAAGAUGAUAUCAGAAAAACAAUUGGUUGUGUUGUCGAAACAAUUGGUUGUUUUUAUCAGCAGUUUAUAAAAACAACUUAAAAACAGAAUUUAAAGAGUUAAGGGAAAGAGAUAAGCACACAGGCAAUUUAUACUGGUUCACUCUUACACCAAGAGCUACAUCCAGUCCCCAGAAACCACUGGGUAUUCCACUAUGCAAUCAAAAUCAGAUUACAAACACCACACACCAAAUUUAUACUUUCUUAUGUUAUUUGCAUCCAGGUAAGGAGGUACGUCCAUAAACAAAUUACAAAAAGAAGAUACGAGGGAGGAAAGUCAGGACGUUUUUUUUUUUCGGAAAACCAGUUUUGUUCACUCUAGGUGUGGGACUUACUACGCUUUACUCCUUGGGUAUUUUGGUCUGAAAUUUUUACCAGACAUUCGUCACUGUGUCUACUGAGUUUUGGCUGAGAUUUGAGCCCCAGAUUCGUCCCACGAGAUGACAAUAAAUUUUUUAUUCAUCACUGCCAGAGCUGAGAGGAAGGGUCGUUUGUGUGUGAAACUAUUCGUUUGUAUAAUGUCUGAUGAUUAGAUUUGGACUUGGACAUUUUUAUAAUGGUUGAGACACUCUUGAAGUGUCGCAUUUUAAUUUUAUUUAUUCAUUGAUGAUAAAAAAACAUCUCAUAAAAUUAUAACCCACCUAAAAAGUAAGAGAAUAUUAUAUACUAAGAUUAUUUUUGGACUUUUUAUAAGUGUUUUCAUUUUAACCCACGUAGUGAAUGAGCUUUCUAGGUUAAGUACAAAAUGCAAACUUUUUAAGGUGGGUUAUUCGCCUUAAUGGUUGUUUUUUGAGUUAUUUUUUAAAGGAUUAUAUGUUUAAUUUAUAAGAACUAACUUUAAAACAUUUUUAACAUAAUUAAAAUAUUUUGUAAGAUCAUGACUAUAUUUGAAAAAAAAAACUUGUUGAAAACUUGAAAAAUUACAUAUAAUGAAAACACUAAACUGAAAGCUAUAAAUGUAAAUUGAAAAAAAAAAUUGAUAUAUUUAAGAUUUGUUUCAUUUAGUCUUAAAUAAAGGGAUGAGACUGAGGUGUUUAUUAUGUAGAAACUAAAACAGACACUACCAAACAAAUAGCAAAACUAAACACAACAUAAUAUCGAAGAGCUGUGUUUAUUUCAUAAUGCAAUGUCUCAUUUUAAAAGGUUUUCUUAAUGAAAUAUUACAUGCUAAACAACGAAAAAAAUACAAUAAACAAAUAAUGUAAAGCCAGGAAGCACAGUGGGGAGUGAGAAACAGGGUAAUUCUAUAAACAUUAAUUUUUCAAAGUCAUUUGAUUCACCAUAUAUCAAAUAGACAUUUGUGUUCUUCACUCCUGAUACAUAACCAAAAGUCACAAAAAUCUAUACCAUGUCUCCAAAUCCUAAAUUUGACAUUAUGCCAUGCCAAUCUUCAUCAUUAAAGGAAAUUACCGUCCUUCGGUUGUGUAUCAGGCACGUGCACUUUGUGUAAUUAACCAUUAAGACACUAGUAAGACAUUCAGGUUCAAUGAUUUCAGAAUUUGAUAAAUAAGCAACCCACAAAGCCAUUCCCUUCAUGUCACGAUCUCGAGCUACAAUGAAACAAACAGAAUGUCCCUCACUCUUAUGGCUCAACCAAUAAGGAUCGUUGUCACCCGGGAGAGAAACAUCACUCGACUCACUGCUGACAGUUAAGAAUUCAUUGCAUGUUCCAACACCAAUAAAAGAAGACCUAGAGUGAUGCUUCAAAAUUCUUGAUUUUAUAGUAUUUAGACCAUAUUCCACCAGAAUACUUUCUACUUCUGUUUGACCUAAAAUUUGUCGAAUUUUGUCUCAAAUUCAGUGGAGAUUCUUACGUGGAAUUUCAAGAAAAAACUAUUUCGGGAGGAUUUUUCAGAAAUUUUGUGCAAACCAAGGCCAUCAUCCUCAAAAUAAACUUGUGAAAUUUUGCCCUUGUAUCUGAAAUUUUAUUUUGGGUCCGUAUUGCGCUGAAAAAAUUUACACAAGUACUUUCAUAUGUUGUUUGCACCCACGUAAGGAGACAUGUUCAUAAACAAAACACAAAAAGAAGAUACGGGGGAGAAAAGCUAGAACGAUUUGUUUUCGGAAAACCAGUUUUGUUCACUUUCGAUCUGGGAUUUACUACGCCUUACUCCUUGGUAAUUUUGGUCUGAAAUUUUUACCAGACGUUUGUCACUGUGUCUACUGAGUUUCGUCUGAGAUUUGAGCCCCACAUUCGUCCCACGAGACUGUCAAUAAAUAUUUUAUUCAUCACUGUCAGAGCUGAGAGGAAGGUUCGUUUGAGCGUGAAACUAUUUGAUUUUUUUCGUGCGUGAAUAGUCAUGCGUUUGACCUGAAAUUUAUCGCGUUUUGUCCCAAAUUCAGUGGACAUUCUUACGUGGAAUUUUCAGGAAAAAAUAAUUUCGGGAGAAUUUUUCGGAAUUUUCGUGCAAACCAAGGCUUUCCUCUACCAAAAUUUGUAAAAUUUCGCCCUAGUAUCUGAAAUUUUAUUCUAGGUCCGUAUUUCCCUGAAAAAAAUCAUACAAAUACUUUCAUAUGUUGUUUGCACCCAGGUAAGGAGGCACGUCCAUAAACAAAUCACAAAAAGCUGAUACGACGGAAAAAAGCCAGGACGUUGUGUUUUCGGAAAACCAGUUUUGCUCACUGUCGGUCUGGGACUUACUACGCCUUACUCCAUGGGUAUUUUGGUCUGAAAUUUUUACAACACAUUUGUCACUGUGUCUAAUGAGUUUUGGCUGAGAUUUGAGCCCCAGAUUCGUCCCACGAGACUGUCAAUAAAUUUUUUAUUCAUCACUGCCAGGACCGAUAGGAAGGUUCGUUUCUGUGUGAAACUGUUUGAUUUUUUUCGUGGGUGAAUACUCAUCCCUUUAAGCUGAAAUUUGUCACAUUUUGUCCCAAAUUCAGUGGAUAUUCUUACGUGGAAUUUCAGAAAAAACUAUUGCAGGAGAAUUUUUCAGAAAUUUUGCGCAAACCAAGGUUAUCCCUCAACCAAAACUUGUUAAAUUUGGCCCUAGUAUCUGAAAUUUUUUUUUGGGUCCGUAAUGCACUGAAAAAAUUCACACAAGUAUUUUCAUAUGUUGUUUGCACUCAGGUAAGGAGGCAUGUCCAUAAACAAAUCACAAAAAGAAGAUACGGGGGAGAAAAGCCAGGACGUUUUGUGUUCGGAAAACCAGUUUUGUUCAAUAUCUGUCUAGGACUUACUACGCCUUACUCCUUGGGUAUAUACGUUCAUCACUGUGUCUACUGAGUUUUGGUUGAGAUUUGAGCCCCAGAUUUGUCCCACGAGACUGUCAAUAAAUUUUUUAUUCAUCACUGUCAGGGCUGAGAGGAAGGUUCGUGUGUGUGAAACUAUUUGAUUUUUUUCGUGGGUUCAUACUCAUUCGUUUGACCUAAAAUUUGUCCCAUUUUGUCCCAAAUUCAGUGGAGAUUCUUACAUAGAAUUUCAGGAAAAAAAAGUAUUUCGGGAGAAUUUUUCAGAAAUUUUGUACAAACCAAGGCUAUCCUCUACCAAAACUUGUGAAAUUUCGCCCUAGUAUCUGAAAUUUUAUUCUGGGUCUGUAUUGCACUGCAAAAAUUCACACAAGUACUUACAUAUGUUAUUUGCACCUAGGGAUGAAGGCACGUGAUGAAGAUCAAGAUCAAGAAGAGAAAGAAGCCGAAGAUGAAGAUGCUCAAAGGAUUAUUAGCUCAUCAUCCUUUUUACCUCAAAGGAUUACAAGGAGCAAAUUUAAAGAAUUAGGAAGUAGUGGUAAAAUGUUUUAUCUUUUUGUAGUAUCUUUUGUAUAAAAUUUAAAAAUGCUUAAUAUAGUGUUUAAGAAGGUUCUAAGAGGGAAACUUAAAGAUACCUCUUGUGUAAAGCAUCUUUAGAUAUUAGCUUUAGAAAAUUCUAGAAAGGUAUCCCUUCCUCGUUCACUUUAGGGGCUAGAAGUGGAAGAGUUACAAGGGAACCUUAGUUAGCUUCUUUUGUAAGCCUCUUGUACUUUCAUGACCGGUCCUUCUCCUAUAUAAGGAGGGCUUGAUUCUUUCUAAAUUCAGAUUUGAUAUUUUGAGUACAGAAAUUCUCCAAAAUUGGUGAGUGAUUGAGAGACUUGUGUCUUCUCUUGUUCUAAUCUUAUCUUGAGAGCAAUCUUGGAACCUCAAGUGGCGGCAUCUACACUCAUCUUGAAGAUUUGCAUCCUUCAAGUGGCGUCUUCCUUUCCAAGGACUCCAACCACAUAAGUUCUCUUCUCCUUUCCAUCUUAUUCAUCCAUUUCCAUUCCCAAAUAAACUCUAAAAACAUGUCUUAGGAUUUUCUAAUCUUUGUAAUCGGUUCAUUUGCUUUUUCUUACACUUUUGUUCGGUUCAUUUGAUUCCUAUCAUGUUUUGUUCAGUUCAUUUCAUUCCUUAAUUGUUUUAAUUGGUUCAUUAGCUUUCUUUCAUGCUUUUGUUCGGUUAAUUUGCUUUCUAGAUAGUUUUAAUUGGUUCUUUCGCUUCCUUGUUCAUUUUAAUUGAUUCAUUUGACAAGAAAUGGGUUUCUACAUGGGUUUUGGCUUGGUUGCUUAAGAUUUGGUGAGUUCUUGAAUGAAAGAACAUUGAUCCAAUUCAAGAUGACUCCAGAACAUGUCUAUGAAACAUCUCUAUCUUCUUAUUGGAAUCAUAUCAGCACAUCCAUAAACAAAUCACAAAAAGAAGAUACGGGGGAGAAAAGCCAGGACGUUUUUUUUUUGGAAAACCAGUUUUGUUCACUCUUGGUCUGGGACUUACUAAGUCUUAUUCCUUGGGUAUUUUGGUCUGAAAUUUUUACCACACGUUCUUCACUGUGUCUAUUGAGUUUUGGCUGAGAUUUGAGCCCCACAAUCGUCCCACGAGACUAUCAAUAAAUUUUUUAUUCAUCACUGUCAGGGGCUGAGAGGAAGGUUCAUUUGUGUGUGAAACUGUUUGAUUUUUUUUUUAUUGAAUAGUGAUCCGUUUGACCUGAAAUUUAUCGUGUUUUGUCCCAAAUUUAGUGGAUAUUCUUACUUGGAAUUUUAGGAAAAAACUAUUUCGGGAGAAUUUUUUAAAAAUUUUGUGCAAACUAAGGCUAUCCUCUACCAAAACUUGUGAAAUUUCGCCCUAGUAUCUGAAAUUUUAUUCUGGGUAUGUAUUGCGCUAAAAAAAUUUACACAAGUACAUACAUAUGUUAUUUGCACCCAGGUAAGGAGGCACAUCCAUAAAGAAAUCACAAAAAGAAGAUACGGGGGAGAAAAGCCAGCACGUUAUUUUUUCGGAAAACCAGUUUUGUUCACUCUCGGUCUGGGACUUCCUACGCAAUACUCCUUGGGUAUUUUAGUAUGAAAUUUUUACCAGUCGUUUGUCACUGUGUCUACUUAAGUUUGGAUGAGAUUUGAGCCCCAGAUUCGUCCCACGAGACUGUCAAUAAAUUUUUUAUUCAUCACUGCCAGAGCUGAGAGGAAGGUUCGUUUGUGUGUGAAACUGUUUGAUUUUUUUCGUAGGUGAAUACUCAUUCGUUUGACCUGAAAUUUGUCGCGUUUUGUCCCAAAUUCAGUGGAGAUUCUUACGUGGAAUUUCUGGAAAAAAUAAUUUCAGGAUAUUUUUUCAGAAUUUUUGUGCAAAUCAAGGCUAUCCACUACCAAAACUUGUAAACUUUCGCUCUAGUAUCUGAAAUUUUAUUCUGGGUUCGUAUUGUGCUGAAAAAAUUCACACAAGUACUUUCAUAUGUUGUUUGGACCCAGGUAAGAAGGCACAUCUAUAAACAAAUCACAAAAAAAAGAUAUGAGGGAGAAAAGCCAGGACGUUUUUUUUCGGAAAAUUAGUUUUGUUCACUCUCGGUUUGGGACUUACUACGCCUUACUCCAAGGGUAUUUUGUUCUGAAAUUUUUACCAGACGUUCUUUACUCUGUCUACUAAGUUUUGGCUGAGAUUUGAGCCUCAGAUUCGUCCCAUGAGACUGUCAAUAAAUUUUUUAAUCCUCACUGCCAGGGCUGAGAGAAAGGUUCGUUUGUGUGUCAAACUAUUUGAUUUUUUUCGUGGGUAAAUACUCAUUCGUUUGACCUAAAAUAUUUCGCGUUUUGUCCAAAAUUCAAUGGUGAUAAUUACAAGGAAUUUCAGGAAAAAAACUCUUCCGGGAGAAUUUUUCAGAAACUUUGUGCAAACGAAGGCUAUCCCCCUACCAAAACUUGUGUAAUUUCGCCCUAGUAUCUGAAAUUUUAUUCUAGGUCCGUAAUGCACCGAAAAAAUUCACACAAGUACUUUCAUAUGAUGUUUGCACCCAAGUAAGGAGGCACGUCCAUAAACAAAUGAAAAAAAGAAGAUACGGGGGAGAAAAGCCAUGAUGUUUGUUUUUUCUGGAAAACCAGUUUUGUUCAAUCUCAGUCUAGGACUUACUACGCUUUACUCCUUGGGUAUUUUGGUCUAACAUAUUUACCAGACAUUCGUCACUGUAUCUACUGAGUUUUGGCUGAGAAUUGAGCCCCAGAUUCGUCCCACGAGACUGUAAAUAAAUUUUUUAUUCAUCACUGCCAGUGCUUAGAGGAAACAUCGUUUGUGUGUGAAACUGUUUUAUGUUUUUUGUGGGUGAAUACUCAUCCGUUUGAUCUGAAAUUUCUCGCCUUUUGUCCCAAAUUCAGUGGAGAUUCUUAUGUGGAAUUUAUUGAAAAAGAAAUUUCGUGAUAUUUUUUUCAGAAAUUUUGUGCAAACAAAGGCUAUAUCCACUACCAAAACUUGUGAAAUUUCGCUCUAGUAUCUGAAAUUUUAUUAUGGGUGCGUAUUGCGCUGAAAAAAUUCACACAAUACUUUCAUAUGUUGUUUGCACCUAGGUAAGGAAGCACGUCCAUAAACAAAUCACAAAAAGAAGAUACGGGGGAGAAAAGAAAGGAGGUUUUUUUUUUGGAAAAUUAGUUUUUUUCACUUUCGGUCUAGGACUUACUACGCCUUACUCCAAGGGUAUUUUGGUAUGAAAUUUUUACCAGACAUUCUUUACUGUGUCUACUGAGUUUUGACUGAGAUUUGAGCCUAAAAUUCGUACCACAAGACUGUCAAUAAAUUUUUUAAUCCUCACUGUCAGAGCUGAGAGGAAGGUUCGUUUGUGUGUGAAACUGUUUGAUUUUUUUCGUGGGUUCAUACUCAUUCGUUUUACCUAAAAUUUGUCGCGUUUUGUCCCAAAUUCAGUGGAGAUUCUUACAUGGAAUUUAAGGAAAAAAACUCUUCCGGGAGAUUUUUCAGAAAUUUUGUGCAAACCAAGGCUAUCCCCUACCAAAACAUGUGAAAUGUCGCCUUAAUAUAUGAAAUUUUAUUCUGGGUCCGUAAUGCGCUGAAAAAAUUCACACAAGUACUUUCAUAUGUUGUGCAUCCAGGUUAGGAGGCACGUCCAUAAACAAAUCACAAAAAGAAGAUACGGGGGAGAAAAGCCACGAUGUUUUUUUUCCAGAAAACCAGUUUUGUUCACUCUGGGUCUGGGAUUUACUACGCUUUACUCCUUGGGUAUUUUGGUCUGAAAUUUUUUCCAAACGUUCGUCACUGUGUCUACUGAGUUUUGCCUGAGAAUUGAGCCCCAGAUUCGUCCUACGAGACUGUCAAUAAAUUUUUUAUUCAUCACUGCCAGGGCUGAGAGGAAGGUUUGUUUGUGUGUAAAACUGUUUGAUUUUUCGUGUGUGAAUACUCAUCCGUUUGACCUAACAUUUGUCGCAUUUUUUCCCAAACUCAGGAAAAAACUAUUUCGAGAGAAUUUUCAGAAUUUUUGUGCAAACCAAGGCUACAAAAAUUUGUGAAAUUUCGCCGUAGUGUCUGAAAUUUUAUUCUAGGUACGUAUUGCGCUGAAAUUUUAUUCACACAAGUACUUUCAUAUGUUGUUUGCAACCAGGUAAGGAGGCACGUCCAUAAACAAAUCACAAAAUGAAGAUAUAGGAGAGAAAAGACAGGACGUUUUGUUUUUGCAAAACCGGUUUUGUUCAGUCUCUGUCAGGGACUUACUACGCUUUACUCCUUGGGUAUUUUGGUCUGAAAAUUUUACCAGACAUUCGCCACUGUGUCUACUGAGUUUUGGAUCAUAUUUGAGCCCCAGAUUCGUCCCACGAGACGGUGAAUAAGUUUUUUAUUCAUCACUGCCAGGGCUGAGAGGAAGCUUCGUUUGUGUGUGAAACUGUUUGAUUUUUUUCGUGGGUGAAUACUCAUUUGUUUGACUUAAAAUUUGUCGCGUUUUGUCCCAAAUUCAGUGGAGAUUCUUACAUGGAAUUUCUGGAAAAAACUCUUCCUGGAGAAUUUUUCAGAAAUUUUGUGCAAAAUUGUUCAGAAAUUUUGUGUGAAUACUCAUUUGUUUGACCAAAAUACCCAAUAAUUUUUCAUAUUCUUACCAAAACUUGUGAAAUUUUACCCUAGUAUCUGAAAUUUUAUUAUGGGUCUGUAUUGUGCUGAAAAAAAUUCACACAAGUACUUUCAUAUGUUGUUUGCACCCAGGUAAGGAGGCACGUCCAUAAAUAAAUCACAAAAAGAAGAUACGAGGGAGAAAAGCCAGGACAUUUUGUUUUCGGAAAACCAGUUUUUUUCACUAUCGGUCUGGGACUUACUACGCCUUCUUCUUGGGUAUUUUGGUCUGAAAUUUUUCACAGACAAUCGUCACUGUGUCUACUGAGUUUUGGCUGAGAUUUGAGCCCCAGAUUCGUCGUACGAGACUGUCGUACGAGAGGAAUUUUCGUUUGUGUGUGAAACUGUUUGAUUUUUUUCUUGGGCGAAUACUCAUUCGUUUGACCUAAAAUUUGUCGCGUUUUGUCGCAAAAUUAGUGGAAAUUCUUACAUGGAAUUUCAGGAAAAAACUCUUUCGGGAUAAUUUUUUAGAAAUUUUGUGCAAACCAAGGCUAUCCCCUACCAAAACUUGUGAAAUUUCACCCUAGUAUCUGAAAUUUUAUUUUGGGUCUGUAAUGCGCUGAAAAAAUUCACACAAGUACUUUCAUAUGUUGUUUGCACCCAGGUAAGGAGGCACGUCCAUAAACAAAUCACAAAAAGAAGAUACGGGGGAGAAAAGCUAGGAUGUUUUUUUUUCGAAAAACCAGUUUUGUUCACUCUCGGUCUAGGACUUACGACGCUUUAUUCCUUGGGUAUUUUGGUCUAAAAUUUUUACCAAACGUUCGUCACUGUGUCUACUGAGUUGUGGCUGAGAUUUGUGCCCCAGAUUCGUCCCACGAGACUAUCAAUAAAUUUUUUAUUCAUCACUGGCAGCGCUGAGAGGAAGAUUCGUUUUGUGUGAAACUGUUUGAUUUUUUUCGUGGGUGAAUACUCAUCCGUUUGACCUGAAAUUUUUCGCCUUUUGUCCCAAAUUCAGUGGAGAUUCUUACGUGGAAUUUUUGGAAAAAACAAUUUCAGGAGAUGUUUUCAUAAAUUUUGUGCAAACCAAGGCUAUCCUCUACCAAAACUUGUGAAAUUUCGCCCUAGUAUCUGAAAUUUUAUUAUGGGUCCGUAUUGCGCUGAAAAAAUUCACACAAGUAUUUUCUUAUGUUGUUUGCACCCAGGUAAGGAGGUAGGUGCAUAAACAAAUCACAACAAGAAGAUACGAGGGAGAAAAGUCAUGACGUUUUUUUUUCGUAAAACCAGUUUUGUUCUCUCUAGGUGUGGAACUUACUACGCUUUACUCCUUGGGUAUUUUGGUCUGAAAUUUUUACCAGACGUUCGUCACUGUGUCUACUGAGUUUUGGAUGAGAUUUGAGCCCUAGAUUCGUCCUACGAGACUAUCAAUAAACUUUUUAUUCAUCACUACCAGAGUUGAGAGGAAAUUUCGUUUGUGUGUGAAACUGUUUGAUUUUUUUUGUGGGUGAAUAUUUCCUCAAACUCUAUGUUUUUUUAAGUGAUCUUUAUUCUGGUUCUUUACUGCUGAUGUUUUGGGGUUUUAGCUGCUGCUUUGUUUAAGCAAAACAUAAGUUUUGUUUUACUACUCUAACCUCUGCCAUAGAUGUUGUACUUUGCUUAAACUUUUCUUUGCAGGAACUGCUUCAGAUUCAAUCAAGUCCAACAAAAGCAACCAAGGAUUUGUUUUCAUCAAAUAGAGGGAGAUUGUUGAAUCCAAAUCCUAGUGUUUGAUGGAAAGCUGGAGGUGCUUGUUGUUGUUGUUGUGCUUGAGAAUAGGAUUUGGGGUAGACUAUAUUUGUAAUCCACUCUUUGUUGAAUCUAAAGCUUAAGUGUUUUCAAAUCUUUUAAGUUUAAAGUGUUUGUCAAACUAAGUGAAAAACAACUUGUUGUUUAGUCGAAACAACCAAUUGUUUUAUACUUGGGUGUUUUUGAAAUUGUUUGAAAACUGUUUUGGAUUGUUGACUUGCUGUCAAACCAAAACAACCGAUUGAUUCGUUAUUUCAACCGAUUGCUUCUUUGAAAUCCUAACAGAAACAAUUUUGUUAGUUAAAUGAGUUUUAAUUGAUUUCAUAACUGAAUAUGCUCCUGCUUUAAAUGUUUUGACCAAGAUUUGAAUACUAUAAAUAGUUUGUUAAUGUUUUAUAACAAACAAGAAGAAAGAAAAACAUAUUUGAGUUUUUCAAAGAUUUCAGUUUUCACUUUGAGCUUUGGCUAUUCAAGAGAGAAGUGGAAUAUGAUUACUUUGUAUUGAUUUCAGUUGAUUUUGUAAUAGUGUAAUUCGUUCUAAAGAGUUGUGUACAUUUUGGUGUUGUAAAACCAAGAAGGGUUGUGUGCUCUUGAGGUUGUCAAGAUCAACAUUCUUGGUGUGUGUGCUGAGCCAAAGGAAGUGUGUUUCUUGAUGGGAUCAAGGUCACUUCUUUGGUGGUGUGUGUAUGUAAUCUGGAUUUGAUUACCUAGUGGAUUCCCAGUGGUUUCUGGGAAACUGAAUGUAGCUCUUGGGUUAAGAGUGAACCAGUAUAAACUGUGAUGGAGAUCAAGUAAGAGAGGAUUUCACUAAUGGAGGAAGAGGCCAUCCACCCAAGCAUUUAAAGUUCUUCCUUCUAGUCUUCUCAAAAAUUAAAGAAGAAUUAAAUAAAGAGAGGACCAAGCCUAAAUCCAACAAGAAGACUACAAGCAUUCAAGAAUGGGCUCCAAUUAAUAUCUCUCUUUAUAGUUUCUUUUGUAUAAAAUUUGUAAAUAAUAUAGAAUAGCUUUAGGAUGUGCUAAAGAGGGAAACCUUAAAGACACCUCCUUUGUAUAGCACUUUAGGCGCUAGUUUUAGGAAAAAUCUAGAAAGGUGCCUUUUCACUCUUCUUUAGGCGCUAGAAUAGGAAGAGUUAGAAGAUCACCUUUCAAAGCUUCUCUUGUAAGCUUCCUUUGUACUUUGUGACCAGCCCUGUCUAUUAUAAAAGGGGUACUUAGGUCUUUGAAAUAAUAAGAUUGAUUUUUGAGAGUAAAGAACCUCUACCAAUUUGGUGAGUGAGAGAGAGAGACUUGUGUCUUCUUCUCUUCUAGUCUUAUCUUGAGUGAAUUCUUGGGCUCUCAAGUGGCGGCAACAACACUCAUCUUGAAGCCAACCAUCCUUCAAGUGGCGUGCACAUUCCAAGAGCUUCAUCCACAUAAGUCCAUUUUCCCUUCAUUCCAAAUUACCCAUUUUUGUUCUACUUGUUUGUUUUCACUUUCAAUCGGUGCAAUCUCUUCCUUAUGAUGUCCUCUUUCAUUAGCUGCACUUAUAUUCAAUUUUAAUCGGUGCAAAUUGGUUGUUCUUGUUGUUUUGGUCACGUCCUCCAUGGGUAUAAAUGCUAUAUGUUGUGUUCUUGAGUUUCUAUCCAUGGGUUUGUUGUUCAAAAUGGGUUUCUAUGUGAGUUUGGCUUGAUUUUUGUGUUUUGGUGAGUUCUUGAAUGUUAAGAAUAUUGAUCCAAUUCUUAAAAAGUGUCUAAUCAUAUUCCAACUCUUGUUGAAUCCAUAACAUGUUCAUAUCAUAUCCAUAUCAUGUUAUUGGAAUCAUAUCAAACUGUUUGUGCAUUUCUCUCUUCCUUAAACUCUUUAAUUUCAUUUGUUGUUGUUUUUACUGGUAUAAACAACCGAUUGUUUAUGCGAAACAAUCGAUUGUUUUUCUGGUGCUUUACUGGUUUGAGCUUUGUUCUUGGCAAACUAAAUUCCUAAAUCUGGUUUCUUGCAAAGAAUUUCAUUCUAUCUUAAAAAGUUUGCGAAAACCUCCUUUAAACCAUUCACCCCCCCCUCUAGUUUAAAGCCGUACAUUCUAACACAAGGGAAGUGGAGUGAGUGAGGCCAACAAAAGAUGUACCUGAAUAUGCAACAGAAGUCGUGGAACUAGGGUUCUGAUCCUCAUACCAUUUAAGAAAUUCAUUGAAAAUAGCAGGCUGGCUUGAGGUAUCAAUUAAUGUAUGGUCCAUAGUAGAAGGUUUCACAGGGGCAGUUUGUGCAACCACAACAGAUUUAGGAGGACGACCAUGUAAGGCAUAACAUCUGUCAAUUUUGUGGCCAAGUUUGCCACAAUGGUCACACUUGUGACGCCCUUUGCCUGGCUUGUGAGGGCGAGGACGAUCAUUAUGUUGAGAGACUAAAGUAGAAGAAUCAUCAACAUGAGACAUUAUAUCAGUGGUGUGUUUACCUGGCACACACAAAAGGGUAGAACAAGUGGAAGUAAAAUUGGGCACGAUAGGAGAUCCCAAAAUUUGAUCAUGAACAUGAUAAUAAUCAUUAGGAAGGCCAUGUGAACCCAAUAACAUGAAGAACUUGGAUCUUUGUUCUAGUUCUUGAGAAGGAGUGGGAGCAUGAGGUAAUAACUCAUUAAAAUCAUGAAGAAAAGCAUGAAGUUUACCAGAUAUUAUGCCAUUGUACCAUCAAGACAUUUGGGAGCAACAAUUGUGAGAAGAUUUUGACACACACCAUAAAGACGUUGAGUAUCAUUGGUGUAUAAUAAUUUUUCUUGUUCCCAAACUUUUGAACAUGUCUCAUAGGUACGAAAUAUUUGUUUUAAAGAUGAGUGAAUGGUAGAUUUUAUAACAAUGCAUAUUUGAGCAUAAAUUUUCAACCAACGGGAAACCUCAUUUUCAGCAACAGUAGGAUGGGUAAGAUGAUCAACAUAUAUAACCUUUUCUCUUAAGCCAUAAUUAAAUAUCUGAUGCCCAAGUGUCAUAAUUGGUUCCAUCCAAUUUGUCAAUGGAGAGAUGAACAUUGAUGUAAUUAGUAUAAAUAGAUGGAUCCGGCAUAAUGACUGCGGAAGAAGCCACAGUGGUAGCGGCAGCGGAAGAAGCCAUAGUGGCAGCGGAAGUGAAAGAAGCCAUAGAGGAUAAGGACAAAUCAAGUCAUUGGUUAAUUGGCGACAACAGCAAAGAUGAAGGCUCUGGCAGCGUCUCUGGCGAAGGCUCCGGUGAGAUUCUGGCGGCGACUCCAGUGAGGGUCUGGCGACGGCUCCGGCGAGGUUCUGGUGGCGGCUCCGGCGAGGUUCCGACGGCGACUCCGACAAGGCAAUGGGGCAGUGGCUGGAAAAUUCCUGUGAAUAGUGGGUUCACCAAAAAUUGAACCCUAACGCUAUGCUUUGAUACCAUUUUAAAGGAAAAGAAAGAAUAGGGUAAAUCUCUUGUGUAUAUUGAACACAUAAGGUUAUAUAAGAAAAGAAACAUAUGGGUUAAGCCCAUUACAUAAAUAUGAAAUAUCUAACAAUAUCUAUAAUAUCUAAUAAUAUCUAAUAAUAUCUAAUUAUAUAUAAUAAUAUGUAAUAAUACUUAACAAUAAUAAAAAUUUAUGCAAUAAAUUUGAGUUAUUAGAAAAUUAAUGUAUUUUUCCCUUUUAAAAUUGUCUUACAAUCAUGCUAGAAUUGUCAGAAAUCCAACAAAUAUUUUUUGAAUUGGACAUUUCACCAAUACGUGUCCCACAAGUGUCGUAUGAGUCUUAGUGUCCAAUACAGGUGUCUAACAUGGACUGAUGUGAUUCCAAUAGCAUAGAAGAGAAUGAUUCUUGACAUUCUUGGGAAUCAACUUGAGUUGGACAAAUGUUAGGCACUUUUUCUUAGAAUUGGAUCAAUGUUCUAAGUCAAGAACUCACCAAAACUAGCACCAAAUCCAAACUCACAUGGAAGUUCCUCAUAUUGUCAAAUUGAACCAACAAAAAGAGGUAAAACUUAAAAUCACCGAACAGAAUUGGACAAGGAACAAACUGAACCGAACAAAAUGAAAUUAAAAGGCAAAGAACUGAAAAUGAUUGCUGGAAAAUAAGAACAAUCGAACCAAAAACUCAAGAACACAAGACAACAUGAACAAUGAGAAGGAAGGAAGGAGAAGAGAAUGCUCAUGAAGAUGGAUGCAAGGUUGGAUGAUCACGCCACUAGAAGGAUGGUUGCUCCUAGAUGAGUGUGCUCCCGCCACUUGAGGACACCAUGGAUCCUUCAAGAUAAGACUAGAGAAGAAGGCUCAAAAGCUCUCCAAUGCACACUCAAAAUUUGAGUAUAGUUUCUUUACUAUUAAUUCCAAUCUGAAUUUUACAAAGGGAGCACCUCUAUUUAUAGCCUAAGGUGCUGAAAUGCAAGCUGCACAAAUUCAAAAACUCCCUCCUAAAAGCUUCUAGAAAUUGGCGCCUAAAAUAAUGCAUGAGGAAGGUGUGACCUCUUCCUUCAUUUUGGCACCUCCUAUUCUACUCCUACACCUAUCUACUAACGCACCCCCCGUAAGACUCCUAACUAAAGACUAAAAGAUGCUUUAACAAUAGAGGUUUCUAAUGUUUCCCUCUAAGCACCUUCAACAAUAUUCUUUAUUAUUUAAUACUUGGCCUUGCCCUUCAUAGGAUGGACUUGGGUUUGGGCUUGGGCUUUGGGCUUGGGCCUCUCUUUAUUUUAUGUCUUCUUUUAAUUUUGAGAAGACUAGAAGGAAGAACUUCAAGUGUGAUGGUGAAUUGCCUCUUCCUUCAUUAAUAGAAACCCCCUUUACUUGACUCUCAUCAUGGGCACACCAUUUAAGAGGAGAGUUUGAGCCUUACAGGACACAACAGCAAGUUUGGUCUCCCAAACCUUGCAUACUACUUACUUCCUUUCCUCAACGACAAAUUUCCUCACCUUUAUUGUUGAGACAGAUUUAAGUCGACCUUUUCAUUAGUUUUGUAUUUGUACAGAUCAUCUCUUUGACUGUGUUGCAUUAUUGUUUUCUCUUCUUCUAACACUUCAUCAACUCAUCAAUUUCUUCUGUGGAAUCGUCAUCUUCAUCAUCAAAUCUGCCAUGGAUGUACGAUGUGCUCAUCAACUUUAAUGGAGAAGACAUCCAAAAGAAAUUUGUUUCUCAUCUUGAUUCUGCCCUCUUUGAUGUUGGCUUCACCACUUUCCUUCACUGCCCCAAUGCACUCAACACAACGCACAUCCAACAACCUAUUCUCAAUCUCUCUCGUGUAACAUUUAUUGUUUUCACCAAAUCCUAUACUCAAUCUGCUUGGUGUCUUCAUCAAUUUCAACAAAUCAUUAAAUGACACAAAACUUAUAGUCUACAUUAUUAAGGAAAUAAUGAUUAUCAAAUUAUACGCAAUUAACUUGAUAAUGAUAGAAUUAUACCCCACCUAUUAUAUAUGUUAUCAUAAUUAUUAUUAAUGUUAGAAAAGAACUACAGUGGACGAAACUCGAAGCCAAUUUCCUUGAGUGACCAAAGAAGCUUUAACCACCACACCAGACAAGUUCUUUUUGUCAUAUUAUGAUUUUUAUUAUACUUAUUAUUAUUAUUAAUAUUAUUAAUAUUAUUAAUAUUAAUAUUAAUAUCAUUUAUAUUAUUAAUAUUAAUCAUAAUAUAACUAUUAUUAAUAUUAUGAAUAUCAUUUAUAUUAUUAAUAUUAUAAACAUUAUAAAUAUAAUUAGUAUUAAUAAUAUUAUUAAAUUUAUUAUUAUUAUUAUUAAUAUUAAUAUUAUCAUUAAUAUUAAUAUUGUUAUUAUUAAUAUUAAUAAAAAUAUGAAUAUCAAUAUUAUCAUUAAUAUCAAUAUUAUUAUUAUUACAAUUAUUAAAAAUAUUUUUUAUGUAAUACUUUAUAUAUGGAUACAAUCUGUAUGUAAUAUUCCCGCUUCAUACGCUUCAUGCAACACCUAAUUUUAUUUUUAGUUUUUUAAUGGGCUGCAACACAUACGAUGGAAUUAGAAAAAAUGUGUUAUAAUUCUAAUUGAAUUUAGAGGGAGACAAUCAAUAUGAAAUAUUAUUAUUGAUACUAAUAUUUAUGUUAUUUUUUUCAUUUUUUAUUUUUUUUAUAAUUUUAAUAUUAUAAAUUUUUCUUUAAUUAAACUAAAAUUACUUUUCUAAUUUAUUUCUAACAACGUAAUACAUCUUAAAAUUAUUUCAAUUCCAUGUAACCUUCUUUUAUAUUUUAAUUUUUAAUUUUUAAUUUAUUUUAGUUUGUCCAUUGCUUUUAUUUCCCAUCAAGAACUAUACGAAUCUAAAUCUAAACCCUAAACCCUAAACGAAUCUAAAUCUUAGUUUUUAAUAUAUUUAAUCUUAUGUAAUGCUCACUUUACAUAUGGAUCUGGACCCGUAUGUAAAAAUCAAUAUGUAACACUUACUUUACAUACGAAUCUGGAUCCGUAUGUAAAAAUUCGUAUGUAAUGCUAACUUUAGAUACAGAUUUGGAUCUGUAUGUAAAAAUCGGUAUGUAACACUUACUUUACAUACAAAUCUGGAUCUGUAUGUAAAAAUCCGUACGUAACGCUCACUUUACAUACGAAUUAUCCGUAUGUAAAAAACUGUAUGUAAUGUUCACUUUACAUACGGAUCUGAAUCCGUAUGUAAUAAUCGGUAUGUAAAUAACAAAUUUCUUGUAGUGUUAUACCCUAUAUAAUGGCGCUGAAAUCAUUUUCAAUGAAUUAAAUUGCGACAUUUAUGACUGACACUAUUUACAUAUAAAAAUCGUCAUUUUAAACAAAGUGUUAAAGUGGCAGGUGUUGCGGAAGGUAGCUUAAGACUGUCACAUUAAACUUUGUGGUGGCCAAUCCUAUGACGGUUUGGGAAACUAUCACACGCGUAUAUUGUGACGUUUAUAAACGCUAGGUUAUACGAAAAUAAUUGUCGCAUUAUACAUCUUUUUUUUAGUGAUUGUUUUAAGAAAAAGAAGUAUAAUAAAAAUAAAUUUGUAAUUAAAUUAUGUGAAAAAUUAUUAAAAUAACAUUAGUAAGAGUUGUUUUAUGGGUGUAAAAUAAAAUUUCGGCAAUGUUAGAAUAAGCUCGAGAAAACAAUUUUUGUUAUGAAGUUUAGGAAAGAUGAAUAUUCAUUUCAAAUAAGACAGAAAAAGGGAGAAUCAAAACAAAAUAUGUUUUUUUUAUAUAACCAUGCCUAAAGCAGUGCAACAUAAAAGUAUGCAGCAGAGCAAAAUGCAAAAAUAGAAUGAGUCAUCAAUAUAAUAUAUAUGUGUACCUACAAAAUAUGUUUUUUUUCUUUAUUUUAAUUUAAAAUAAUAAUUUAAUUGUUAAAGAGUAACUGUAAAAUUUUAUUGUUUUUAAUAUGUAAAGGAUAAAAUUGAAAAAUUAAAUGUAUGUGCAAAAGAGGAAAAUUCUAUUGUUAUAGACUAAUAUUAAUAAUAUUAUUAUUAAGUUAAUAUGAUGGCUAGCAUGGGUUUUUUUGAAAAAUGGGUUUAUUGUAUCAAAGAAUACCUCGAAUCUUCUUCUAUCUUUGUUUUAGUUAAUGAAAGUCCAUCUAAGUAAUUCAAACCGUCUUAGAGGUCUAAGAUAAGGGGAUCCAAUUGCACCGUUCUUAUUCAUAAUUGUGGCUCAAGGCCUAUCAAGUUUAGUAAAUCAAGGGCUACAAAGGAAGUGUUUUCUGAAUUAAAAUUCGGUGCAAAAAAUAUAGAGGUGAAAUUGCUUCCGUUUGCAAAUGACACUUUGAUCAUGUGUAAAUCUAAUAUCCAAAAUAUUAGUGGUAUUAAAGGGAUCCUUAAAUGUUUUGAAAUUUGCUCAGGGCUUAGAAUAAACUUCUUUAAGAGAAAAAUUGGAGCUAUAGGAGUGGACAAAAAUGUGUUAGGAUCUUUCUUUGAGGUUCUCCAUUGCAACAUUAUGAAUAUUCUUUUUUUAUAUCUUAGUUUACCAAUUGGGGGAAAUUCUACUAAGGUUUCUUUUUGUGACCUAGUGCUUACAAAGGUUAAGAAGAGGCUAUCUAUGUGGAAACGUAAACAUCUAUCAUUUGCAGGUCGUGUGUGCUUCAUUCAUUUUGUGUUGAAUGCAACCCCUUGUAUUAUCUCUCUUUGUUCAAAGCUCCAUCAUCUAUAUUGAAAAAAGAUUACAAAGUUACAACGUAAGUUCUUGUGGGGCUGGGAUACUGAAGGAAGGAAAAUUGCUUGGAUUAAAUGGGAUAAUUUAUGUAAACCUAAAGCGAAAGGUGGGUUGGGCAUCAAGCAAAUAGACAUUUUCAACAAAGCUUUAUUUGGAAAAUGGAAAUGGAGACUUGGCUCUCUUGAUAACUGUCUAUGGAAAGAUAUUCUUGCUUCUAAAUAUGGUUCUUGGAGAAAUUUAUCUGAAUCUAGAGUUUCAAAGCAUGCUUCAGGAUGGUGGUGCCAUUUAAACAAAGUGUGUGAGGAUGAGCAGGACAUCAAUUGGUUUGAUUGUAAUAUGGAAUAGGCGGUUGGGUCUGGUGAAAAAGUAAAGUUGUGGGAAGACGUUUGUGUUUAUAUUGUUUCGGUUUAUAAUUGUCAAUUGAAAGCUAGAUUCCCAAGGUUGUUUAAUAACUCUCAUAGAUAAUUCCCAAGCUAGAUUCCCAAGGUUGUGGUAAAUGGAACAGAGACAACUGGGUUGGGAAUUAAAGUGGAGAAGAGAGUGGUUUAAAUGGGAGAAGGCCCAAGUAGAUGAAUUUAUGACUGUGCUGGAAGGUCAAACCUUGAAAAAAGGUAAGGAGGAUAAAUGGUUAUGGAGAGACCCGCAAACCUGUAAGUACUCUGUCAAAUCUGCAUAUGCAUUCGUUUCUAAUUCUAUUCCAAGUGCAUCUAAGGAUAUGUAUAGGGUUAUGUGGGGCUUGUUGGUCCCACCAUCAGCACAAUAUUUUGUUUGGAGAGCAUUGCAAAAUAGGAUCACCAAAAAGCAAAAUUUGAUUAGAAGGUCAGUCCACCUUGCAGAUUCAUUAUGCAUUUUAUGUGGGACGGAGGAGGAAACGUCCUCACACCUUUUCUUAACUUGUCAGAUUGCGAGCGUUGUUUGAAAUUAUUGUAGUAAAUGGAUUGAGGUUAGAUCUGUAAAUCAUUUUUCUUUGAAGGAACACUUUGAACAAUUUCAUUGCCCUUGGCUUAGCAAAGAUGGCAAUAAGUUCUGGAAAUGAGUGUGGGUAUCCAUCAUCUGGUGUAUUUGGAAACAUAGGAAUGAGAUUGUGUUUAACCAAGCAAAAGUGGAUGCGAGUGAAAUCUUUGCCCUGACCCAAAUGCGAUCAUGGACUUGGUUAAAAAACAAGGCUCCAAUAGUGCUUUUUUCUUUUUCCGACUAGGUCCAAUGUCCAAAUACUUGCAUUAAUAUGACAGUAAAACGUUGAUUUCGUGAGGAUAGAGAGGUUGGUAUGUCUUGGCUGGUUUUUCUUCCUUUUUUAGGAUGCUUUGAGAGUAUGUAAUGUACCCUUAAAGCGCAGCGUAUAAGGGUUGAAGCCCCUUUGUGCUCCUUUUCUACUAAUUUAUUUUUUUGCCAAAUAAAAAAAAAAGUUUACAAAGGAUGUUAAGCAUAUUAAUUAAUUCAAUUCAUCUACCUAUAUAUUACGCAUAUCUAUAUGAGUGGUUAAGAGUAAAAUAUUAAAUAAAUUUAUUUUCUCUUUUCUCUCAAUGCCUUCCACUCAUUCUCUUUCUUAUUAAUAGAUUACUCUAUAAAUAGGUUGAUAUUUAUUAUGUAUAGUAUUCUUUGCACACACAUUCCAACUAAGAGUACCUCCUGAUAGAAGGCAUGAAGAUCUCAUCUACGCUUUGAAAAGAAAGAUUAUAUAAGAUAAUCUCUACUCGUGUAAAAGAAAAGUACAAUAAUAUUUUUUACGGCAUGAUUAAAUUAUUAAAUAAAAAAUUGAUUAAAUUAGUAAAUAAAAAAUUGAUUAAAUUUUUGAAAGUUAUAUAACUUUUCACGUUUUUCAUGAGUUUAGACAUGCUAAACUAGCAAGGUAGAAUUCAAAAUCAAUAUAAAUAAAAGAAAAAGAAAAUAUUUGUUUAAUGAUUUUAACAAAAUGAUAUUGAAAUAAUUUUAUAAACUGAUUAUAGAUAAACUGAAUGUUUUUCUAAACUGUAUUUAUACCUACAUUAACCUGUUUUAGAUAUACAUGUGUAAUGUGAAAGAUGAUGAUGUUAUAAGCUUUUAAAACUUUAAGCGUUAUUUGCAUAAAAUAAAAAGGUUCGGCGAUGGUGUGAACGCGCUUCCACGACCACUACAGAAGUAAGUUUUGUGUCUGUACACAUCAUCUCUUUGACUGUUGCAUUAUUGCUUUCUCUUCUUCUAACAGUUGAUCAUGAAGGAAAUUUGUGUCUCAUCUCGAUUCUGCCCUCUCUGCUGUUGGCUUCACCACUUUCCUUCACCACCCCAAUGCACUCAACCCAAUUCACAUCCAACAAUCUAUUCUCAAUCUCUCUCGUGUAGCAAUUGUUGUUUUCACCACAACCUAUUCUCAAUCUGCUUGGUGUCUUCAUCAACUUCAACAAAUCAUUGAAUGGCACCAAACUUAUUGCCGACAUGUUCUGCCCGUUUAUUACGAAAUCCAGCCAUCUGAUGUACGUCUUCAGAUGGGUGAUUUUGGAAAAGCCCUCAAAGCAACUGCACAACAAACAUUCUCACCACAACAACUGGAGCAUGGCAUGUCCAGGUGGAGCCACGCACUCACCAAAACUGCAAAUUUCUUUGGAUGGGAUGAGAACAAUCACAGGUAAAUGACUCACUUAAUCAAUCAUAUUUUAAGCUUGUAAUACAAUUUUGUUAGUACAUGACUUCUUCUAUAAUUGCUAUUGAACUUGAAGGAGUGAUGCAGAACUAGUGGACAAAAUUGUUAAGAUCGUUCUUAAUUUAUCAAUCUUGUCUGCUACUAAAUUUCCAGUUGGAUUACAAUCCCGUGUGGAGGAUGUGAUUCAAACCAUAAAAAGUAAAUCCACCCAAGUUUUUACGAUAGCGAUAUGUGGAAUAGGAGGAUCGGGUAAAAGCACCCUUGCCAAAGCCAUCUAUAAUCAAAUUCAUGGUACAUUCACGGAGAAAAGUUUCAUUGAAGAUAUUGGACAAUUUAGUGGAAUAAGAGGGGAUCUUCGUUUACAAGAACAACUUCUUUCAGAUGUCCUAAAAACGAAGGUGAAGAUAAGCAGUGUUGAGAUGGGAAAAAAAAUGAUUCGGGAAAGACUUUCUGGGAAAAGAGUGUUCAUUGUACUUGACGAUGUGAAUGAGUAUGGUCCAUUAGACCUAUGGGGAAGUAGUUCAUGGUUAGGUGAAGGAACUGUAAUAAUCAUUACAGCGAGAGAUGAAGACCUACCGAAUAUGCUUCGAGUUGAUUAUGUUUAUCCGAUGAUUAUGAUGAACGCAAACGAGUCCGUUGAGCUUCUUAGUUGGCACGCAUUUAGAGAACCAAAACCAAAAAAAGAAUACUAUUUACUUGCAAAAAGAGUAGUUGCUUAUUGUGGAUCACUACCUCUAGCUCUUGAAGUCAUUGGAACUUAUUUAUAUAAAAGGACGAAAGAAGAAUGGAAUACAGUAUUGAUAAGAUUAAACAAUAUUCCCCAUAAUGAAGUUCCACAGAUAUUGAAAAUAAGCUUCGACGGUUUACGUAAUCAAAUAGAGAAAGAUUUAUUCCUUGAUGUAUGUUGUUUCUUUGUUGGUAAAAGCAGAGCCUAUGUUACCAAGAUCCUAAAUGGCUGUGGAGUAGACCAUGAUAGUGGAAUAAGAGUUCUCAUAAAGCGUAACCUCAUCAAAGUUAAAGAAAACAACAAAUUUGGAAUGCAUCAUUUGCUAAGAGAAAUGGGAAGAGAAAUGAUUCGUGAAAUUUCAGGAAAGGAAUCUGGAAAGAACAGUCGACUGUGGCUUGAGGAGGAUCUAAAACAUGCAUUGUCAGAGAACACUGUAAGAACAUUCUUAAUCUAUGGUUUUGAAACUUCUUUUGAAAGUGGUUGAUUUCUCAUGUGCAAUACAAAUAUUUUUCUUAGCUCUUUUCAUCACCGGGCACAAAAGUCAUUCAGAGAUUGUCUAGCGGAAGAGAUUUCUUCGAACGUUAUCCUGUAGAGGUAAGAGACCCAUCAAAACUGCUUAAACUCGCUGGAGAUUCUGAGUACCCUUCUAAGAAACUGAGAGGGAUCAGUCUGCAAAGGUUUUCUUCAGAAUACUUACCUAACGACUUUAAUCUGCAUGAUGCAAUAGCGAUUGAUUUAAAACACAGUCUUCUUCGAUUCGUCUGGAAAGAAACCCAGGUUUUUAUUAUGUGCCAUUUUCUUUUAAAGCUCAGCUUAAAAUAGAAAUAUUAUUUCUUUCCACUUAUAACUAUUUUAUUUUUUUCAUUUUCUAUUUUAAUAUUCUUGAAGGUUUUGGCUUGUCUAAAAGUCUUGAAUCUUAGUCACUCGAAGUACUUGACAAAAACCCCUGACUUUUCGAGACUACCAAGUCUUGAACACCUCAUUCUCAAAGAUUGUCCUAGAUUGCGCGAAGUACACCAAUCUAUUGGUUGUCUCUGCAAUCUUAUACUACUAAAUUUGAAGGACUGUACAAGUCUAAGCACUCUCCCCAGUGAGAUAUGUAAGUUGAAAUCCUUGAAAAAUCUCAUUAUAUCUGGUUGUUUGAAAAUUGACCUAUUGGAAAAAGAUAUAGUGCAAAUGGAAUCCUUGAGAACUCAAAUUUCUGAAAAUACAGAUGUGAAACAAGUGCCUUUUUCAAUUGUAUGCUCAAAAAGCUUUGCAUAUUUAUUCCUACCUAGAUUUGAAGGAUUAUCACAUAAUCUUUUUCCUUCUGUGAUUCGGUCUCUGAUGUCGCCAACAAUGAAUCCCUUAUCUUAUAUUCAUUCCUUCAUGGAUAUGGAGGAUAAUAGUUGGGAUGAUAUUUCACCAUUGCUUGGCAGCCUUACAAAUCUUCGAAGUGUUUUGGUGCAAUGUGACGCCAAGUUUGAACUAUAUGAGCAAGUAAAAACUAUAUUGGUCGAAUAUGAUGCAAAUAUUACAGAAUCAGGAAUUUCAAAGCAUAAGUUCAGGUCUUCUCUGACUGGCGUUGGAAGAUACAAAGAAUUCUUCAAUACUAUCAGCGAUAGCAUACCUAAGGUUCUUCUCUAGCCUUCCUUUGCUUAUAACCUUCACCAUCAUUUUAGCUAUUAUUUUUUAGAACAGAAAAUAAUCCUAAUGAAGUAUUUAGUAGAAACUACGCUACUGAACUUUUAGCACCCUUCGCUUCUAUAGCCCCGCGACUUCAUCUAAAAGUAUCUGAGUUGAAUAAUCAAAGAACCAAGUGAUUAUGCUUAUACUAAGUACUUUGAAAUUGAUUUCCACUUUAUUGCUUUACUAGCUUCAUGGUUUUUUUAUUCCUAAUGAUCGUAUAAAUAUAAACUAAGAGAGACAAAAACAGAAAUGCAAAAUGAUGGUGAUAUAUACACAACAAAACUAUUAACCAGAUUUGUUUUAAUCAUGUAUAACAUUUUUGUUUCACUAAACAUGCCCUUGUUUGUCACGUGAUACAGGUAUUUGCAAGCAGUGAGUCAUGUGAUGUUUCUCUGCCAGGUGACAACGAUCCUUAUUGGUUGGCCCAUAUGGGUGAUGGACAUUCUGUUUCUUUCACUGUGCCUCAAGAUCGUGAGGUGAAGGGAAUGGCUUUGUGUGUCGUUUAUUCAUCAACCUCCGAAAUCAUUGAACCUAAACAUACUACUGUCUUAAUUGUUAAUUACACGAAGUGCACAUGCCAGAUACACAACCAUGGCACAGUAAUUUCCUUUAAUGAUGAAGAUUGGCAUGACAUAAUGUCAAAUUUAGGAUCAGGAGACAAGGUGGAGAUUUUUGUGACUUUUGGUCAGGAUUUGGUGAUUAAGAGCACAGCUGUCUACCUGAUAUAUGGUGAGCCAAGGAAAAAUUCCCUCAUUAGAUUCAUAAAGAAAAUUGUAAUGUGACUUUUCUGGUAAGUCAUUUAUCUUCUUUUUGAACAGCAGGAUCAUUUUUUUCCCAUCUUUUCUUUUGUUUAUAGUGUAGCUUAUAGUUAAGAAAUUCAUGUUUAUUUCAUCCUGUUUUCACUCCUUAGUGGUGCUUCCUUGGCUUUGCGUGAGCGGUUUAUUGUAUUUGUUUUCUGGAUUUUACUUUUGUCAAUUAUUUUCCCUUUUAGCAUAUAAUAUUUCAAUAGGAAUCCUCUUAAAAUAAGACAUUGCAUUAUGAUAUAAAGACAGCUGCAGUUUGAUAGUUUGCUAUGUGUUUUGUUUUGUUAUCUGGUAGGUAGUCUCUGUUUUCGUUUGAAUAUAAUAAACAUUGAAAGAUGAGUACAUUUUUUUAUAGUGGUGCAAGCACGUUUAAAAAAUUCGACCAACGCCCGCCUACUUUGAACCACUGGAAAAAUAAAUAUUAUGCUAAUACCAAUGAAAUUUUGUCCAAUAUAUUCCUUUUUCUUUAUAUAUUAUGCGUCCACUUUUUUAAGUUUUAAAAUAUAACACAGGCAUCUUUGUUUACAUUACCCAUUCAUCUCGUUAAGAUAAAUCAUUGUAACAAAAUAAAAAAAAGUAUACAUAUAAUUUGAGAAAAAAUACGACAGGUCAUUUUUUAUAAAUAAGAAGAAACAGGGUAAAAUAAACAUGAAUUUGUUAACUGUAAACUAUACUCAAAGAAAAACAAGGAUAGGAUCAUAGGAUUAAUUCCAUAAUAAGGCAGUUGUUUGACCGUUGUAUUUUCAGCAAUUACAGUUAUCAAGGAUUUCAUUCGCACUAUAUCAUUCGACAGAGUUUUUAAGGAUUUUAACUUAUAUUUCUUUCUGGGAAGAUUGCUUUAAAACGAGAUGGUUAUAAGUGGAAACAAAUAAUGAUUUUAAAAGAGAAUGGCACGUAAUAAAAACCUGGGAUUCUUUCCAAACGAAACGAAGAAGACUGUGUUUUAAGUCAAUCACUAUUGCAUCAUGCAGAUAAAUAUCGUUAGAUAGGUAUUCUUAUAAAGGUACUCCGAAUGUCCAGCGAAUUUCAGCAGUCUUGUUGGGUCUCUUACCUCUAAAGGAUAACGUUCCAAGAAAUCACUUCCGGUAGGCAAUCUCUGAAUCACUUUUGUCCUCCUAGAUGAAAAGAGCAAAGAGAAAGAAGUAUAUUGCACAUGAGAAAGCAACCACUUCCAAAAGAAGUUUCAAAACCAUAGAUAAAGGAUGUUCUUACCGUAUUCUCUCACAGUGCAUAGUCUGCAUCCUUAUUAAACAACAGUUGACUGUUCUUCCCUGAAAUUUGACGAAUAAUUUAUCUUCCCAUUUGUCUUCCUAAUUUGUUGUUCUUAUUAUGAGACUACGAUAUAUGAGAACUCUUAUUCCACUAUCAGCGUCUAUUCCACAGCCAUUUAGGAUCUUAGUAACAUAGACUCUGUCCUUACCAACAAAGGAAAGAACAUACAUCAAGGAAUAAAUCUUUUUCCAUUUCUUUGUGUAACCCGUCGAAGCUUGUUUUCAAUAUUGUGUAAAAUAAAUAUGAAUUUAACUAUGAGCUAUACUCAAAGGAAAACAAGGAAAGGAUCAGAAAGAUAAAUUGCACUAGAGGACACAAGGAUUAAUUCCAUAACUCAAGGGAUCCUGCUUUUCUCAAAGAAGAUGAAUUGUAAUAAGGACACAGGGAUUGAUUCCAUAACUCAACGGAUCCUGUUAUGUUCUCAAUGAAGAACAUUAACUUAGCAGAAGUCACACAUUACCAUUUUCUUAAAGAAUUUAAUUAAGGUAUUUUCCUUUGGCUCAGGCCAAGAAUCCAUUUCCAAGUCAUUUGAUUCACCAUAUAUCAGAUAGGCAACUGUGUUAUUGACCACCAAUCCAUGACCAAAAGUCACAAAAAUCUCCACGUUGUCUCCUGAUCUUAAACAUGAAAUUACGCCAUGCCAAUCUUUAUCAUUAAAGGAAAUUACUGCGUCAUGCUUGUGCAUAUGUAACGUGCACUUUGUGUAAUUAACAAUUAAGACAGUAGUAAGUUUGGGUUCAAUGAUUUUGGAG